RNAcentral lists this ribosomal RNA (372 nucleotides) under uncultured organism. RNAcentral's name for it is "bacterial SSU rRNA". It matches the Rfam family "Bacterial small subunit ribosomal RNA", at positions 526 to 896 of the family's 1533-position model. The record is from RNAcentral.
CAGAGACUGCAAGCGUUAUUCGGAUUCACUGGGCGUAAAGGGUGCGCAGGCGGCCAAGUGUGUGAGGCGUGAAAGCCCGGGGCUUAACCCCGGAAUUGCACCUCAAACUACAUGGCUAGAGCAUUGGAGAGGGUAGCGGAAUUCACGGUGUAGCAGUGAAAUGCGUAGAUAUCGUGAGGAACACCAGAGGCGAAGGCGGCUACCUGGACAAUUGCUGACGCUCAGGCACGAAAGCGUGGGGAGCAAAAGGGAUUAGAUACCCCUGUAGUCCACGCCCUAAACGGUGCACACUAGGUCUUGGCGGAUUCGACCCCACCAGGGCCCAAGCUAACGCGUUAAGUGUGCCGCCUGAGGACUACGGCCGCAAGGCUA